Molecule: transfer RNA, 71 nt
Filed under: Loxodonta africana (African savanna elephant)
Lineage: Eukaryota; Metazoa; Chordata; Mammalia; Proboscidea; Elephantidae
Rfam family: tRNA
About the family: Transfer RNA (tRNA) molecules are approximately 80 nucleotides in length.
Source: Rfam by way of RNAcentral
CUCUGGGCGGUGAAAAGGUUAACACAGUUGGCUGCUAACCAAAAUACUGAAGGUUCAAGCCCACCCAGAGG